GGAUAUAGCUCAGUUGGUAGAGUGCUUGCCUUGCAUGGACAAGGCCCUGGGUUCAAUCCCCAGCACCA
This 68-nucleotide transfer RNA is filed under the name Marmota monax (woodchuck). RNAcentral's name for it is "tRNA.Ala". The record is from RNAcentral. Lineage: Eukaryota; Metazoa; Chordata; Mammalia; Rodentia; Sciuridae.